UCUCAGUUCGGAUUGUAGGCUGAAACUCGCCUACAUGAAGCUGGAGUUACUAGUAAUCGCAGAUCAGAAUGCUGCGGUGAAUGCGUUCCCGGGUCUUGUACACACCGCCCGUCACACCACGGAAGUUGGGGGCGCCCGAAGCCACUUAGCUAACCCUUUUGGGAAGCGAGUGUCGAAGGUGAAAUCAAUAACUGGGGUGAAGUCGUAACAAGGUAGC
RNAcentral lists this ribosomal RNA (217 nucleotides) under uncultured bacterium. RNAcentral's name for it is "partial 16S ribosomal RNA". It matches the Rfam family "Bacterial small subunit ribosomal RNA", at positions 1286 to 1500 of the family's 1533-position model. The record is from RNAcentral.